This 72-nucleotide small nucleolar RNA is filed under the name Procavia capensis (Cape rock hyrax). Its description in RNAcentral is "Small nucleolar RNA SNORD112 (ENSPCAG00000020616.1)". The record is from RNAcentral. Lineage: Eukaryota; Metazoa; Chordata; Mammalia; Hyracoidea; Procaviidae.
UGUAUCAGUGAUGACAGAGUGUUGUAAACCAAGGAUUAUGAUUAUUCUAAUUCUGUGUACCUGAGGUCCAUU